GAUGAAGAACGUAGCGAAAUGCGAUACGUAAUGUGAAUUGCAGAAUUCAGUGAAUCAUCGAGUCUUUGAACGCACAUUGUGCCCCCUGGUAUUCCGGGGGGCAUGCCUGUCCGAGCGUCAUUGCUGCCCUCAAGCACGGCUUGUGUGUUGGGCCUCCGUCCUCCUCCCGGGGGACGGGCCCGAAAGGCAGCGGCGGCACCGCGUCCGGUCCUCGAGCGUAUGGGGCUUCGUCACCCGCUCUUGUAGGCCCGGCCGGCGCUUGCCGACACAUCAAUCUUUUUUCCAGGUUGACCUCGGAUCAGGUAGGGAUACCCGCUGAACUUAAGCAUAUCAAUAAGCGGAGGA
RNAcentral lists this unclassified non-coding RNA (345 nucleotides) under soil metagenome. RNAcentral's name for it is "partial contains 5.8S ribosomal RNA, internal transcribed spacer 2, and large subunit ribosomal RNA". The stretch from base 1 to 120 matches the Rfam family "5.8S ribosomal RNA", at positions 35 to 154 of the family's 154-position model. The record is from RNAcentral.